Coregonus clupeaformis (lake whitefish) is the source of this 2836-nucleotide long non-coding RNA. RefSeq lists it as uncharacterized. The record is from RefSeq and is a predicted model, not a curated record. The transcript has 2 exons. NCBI's taxonomy places the organism in Eukaryota, Metazoa, Chordata, Actinopteri, Salmoniformes, Salmonidae.
CCCCCCACUUUGCAAUGUGAGCGGAGAUUCUAACUGAGAUUUUCAUCUCUGUCACAUCUGGAACUGCUCGCAAUAUGUGCACUGUUUAGAACUGUGUUUUCCGCAAAUUGCAUUUUGGCAAAUGUUUGAAAAUGAAAAUGUUUUAUUAGCUGCUUCAUUACAGGAGUUGCAUGUUCCGUAAUAGGUUGUAGCCUUUUGACUGUAAAACGAUAGGCUUGCCAUUGUUCCCAUUUAAACUCUUAAUGAAAAAUGUCCGGUCCUUGUAUGCGUGCAUAGUAUCAGAGAGGAAGAGGCGAAGCGAGAGGUUUCACUCUCACCAACAAUAUGUCCAAAAUAAGUCCAAUGCAUUUCUAUGGGCUUAUUUUGGGCCUAAGCUUGUCGCCUGCCUUCCCGCCUUGGGACGACUCCCAUUUGUUAGGGCGGAAACAUAAGCAUCUCGUCAUUAUAUACAGAUCUCUGAUAGUAUUUUCUGUUGGUCACUCCAUUUUACUGUUUGGAAAAUGUUUUACCAUUUGUUGACCGGUUAAUGAGGGUCAGUUAGUCGGCAGCAAAAUUGACCGAAAUGUGCAUCCCUAUCAAGGACAUUUCAUCCAAUGUGCAUCAUCUGAUCUCAUCUGAUCUCAUCUGAUCUCAUCUGAUCUCAUCUGAUCUCAUCUGAUCUCAUCUAUUUUACACCGUGCCUUAUAUAUUGACAUGUACUUCUUAUUAACAAAAGUAAUUAAGAUGACUAAGGGAUUGUCCCCCUAACUUAUUUUGAUCGAGUCAUUAUGAUGACAUCACUGUUAAAGCCCUUUGCCUUUCCUUUGGAGCGUAAAGGAAUGGGCCAGUUGUGAUGAUGACAUCACUGUUAAAGCCCUUUGCCUUUUCUUUGGAGCGUAAAGGAAUGGGCCAGUCGUGAUGAUGACAUCACUGUUAAAGCCCUUUGCCUUUUCUUUGGAGCGUAAAGGAAUGGGCCAGUCGUGAUGAUGACAUCACUGUUAAAGCCCUUUGCCUUUUCUUUGGAGCGUAAAGGAAUGGGCCAGUCGUGAUGAUGACAUCACUGUUAAAGCCCUUUGCCUUUUCUUUGGAGCGUAAAGGAAUGGGCCAGUCGUGAUGAUGACAUCACUGUUAAAGCCCUUUGCCUUUUCUUUGGAGCGUAAAGGAAUGGGCCAGUCGUGAUGAUGACAUCACUGUUAAAGCCCUUUGCCUUUUCUUUGGAGCGUAAAGGAAUGGGCCAGUCGUGAUGAUGACUCUACUCUGAUGACCCAAACUGAACGUUCUAGAUUAGAACAGGAGUUAGGGGAGGGGUAGGCUUGAUGAUUACAUUACUGACUUCUGGGACCGGUUUUCCCAGACAGAUCAAGCCCUGAACUAAAAAGCUCUUUCAAUGUAGAAUCUCCACUGAGAAUGAUCUAGUCCAGGACUAGGCUUAAUCUGUCCGGGAAACCAGUCCUACUGUUUCUACUAUUGCUAUGUUUUGAAUGUUUUUAUUUCCUGUCUAAACUAUUUAAGAGAAACAUUCAGUAUUUUAAGCUAGAAUCUGUACAGUGUGACAGGGCCAUAGAUACAGAAGGGUAGUGCUCAUUAGUGGGAAGUUGGGAUCUUCCUCCUUUUUUUUUUUUUAUCAAUUAUUUACAGUAAACCAUGAGAAAAUUCCUAAAUAUAAUGUAAUAAUCUAAAUGAUAUAAUGAACAACAGAUGUGUCAAUACCACUUUCAGAAGCAUGUCAAUUGAUGCAGGGUAAGAAUUCAUGAUUUUUUAAAAAAAAAUUAAGUUAUCUGUUGUGAUUAUGUAGGCAUAAACAAUCAACCAUGCACCAACACACACAGGCUGGACACAUGAACACAGGACAGUUUUUUUAGUGUGUUUUUGUGUUCUGAUGGAAUGAAGUUACGCCAGUCAGCAGACGCUCUCCACUCAAACACAGGGUCAUGUUCAGCAGGGCACACCGACGCAAAAACGUUCUCAAACAGACAACAGAAACAAACAAGCGUUUCUCAUUGGGACUUUUCGUUUCAGAGUAUUUUUUAAAAUGUUUGGUGCCAAGUGAACGGACCCAGCAAGUCUGCUGUCUGGACAGAAGGUGCCAAGGGCCCAGCAAGUCUGCUGUCUGGACAGAAGGUGCCAAGGGCAUCGUUAAAAGGGGGGGGGAAACAGCUAUGGAUGACUAAUGACUAUGAGGGACUCUAUGCAAUGCAUGUGCCAACCAAUGCAGUAUUCAUUCUGAACCAAUUGUACUGUUUCUUUGUACCUCUUUGUAUAGGUCAACUUGUUUUUGCUAAUAUUUAUAAGAGUAGUAUUACAAUACUUUGCUAUUACUAGUACACGGACACUUGAUUCUGUCUUAAUAACAAUCAGCAUGGCUCUGAAAAGGGAAUGAUGUACAAUGAGAUCCAACGGGAAUACAUUUCACACGUCACCACGUAUUACUGCACCUGAAUACUAUAUAAUAAAGACUACAUGAAUGAACACAUGAGAGAAAUACUGAAAAUAGAAAUGUGUCUGUUAUUAGCCAAGAUCAUUUUCUUAUCUCACACACAUUGGUCAAUACUGCAGACUGCAGUACGUAUCUCUAACAGCUGUGGUGUUGUUAUCUCCAACGCUAGACUGCUUCUUACUGUGGGUUCACCUUCUCUGACUGGAGGAAAUUGUUCACCAUCCGACUGUAGGGAAUCAAAGAAAGUGCCAGUGAAUGAUAUGCAUGAUUCACUUGCAUACAGUAUAUGCUUUAACUGCAGAUGAAAUUAAGUAAAUGAUGGUCUGGAUUUUUAAAUAAAUAUAAAUGCUUACAAUGUUUACUAAUCUUGGAAUUUCUAAGUGUCUUAAUUACUUUAAAUAAAAUGCUAAUUCAGUUGGA